CGCUACCUAUGGUGUGAACAAGGUCUGAAGGUGAUGACCUCCAGCUCACAGCCAAGCUUCCACACAACCGCCUAGCAGGUCAACUAAUGCAAUGUGAAUAAAGCCAGACUGUAAGCCACACCCAUAUGAGACCGUGUAAUGGAGACCACCAGGUGCAAAAGAAUGUUUAAAUGCCAGGUUUUUGGCAAGUGGAGAAAGUUUCAGCUCACUCCAUUUUCAAUUUCGCCUUGGGAUAUCAACUGUCUCAAUAAUUGUCAAGGAGACAAGUGUUUAUCUGGGAACAACUGCAUGAUGAAUUUAUCCCACAUCCAACUAGACAGCAUUGGACAGAAAUAUCAUGAUUUUUUUUUUUUUGACGUUUGUCAGUUUCCCAACUGCAUAGGUGCGGUAGACAGGAAACAUAUUCAUAUUAACAAGCCCCAAGGAACUGGAUCAGAGUUUUUCAAUUACAAGAAAUAUUUUUCGAUAAUCCUAAUGGCCAUUGCAGAUGCUCAAUAUCGUUUUGUUGCCGUCAACGUAGGGGCCUAUGGACGCAGCAACGAUUCCAUGGUUUUUAAAAAUUCAAAUAUGGGCCGUAGUCUAUAUAACGGACAAUUCGAUUUUCCUCUCCCUCAACCACUUCCAGGUACUGAUGGCACACCCAUGCCGUUUGUAUUGGUUGGUGAUGAGGCCUUCCAAAUGUGUGGAAAUCUAAUUAAACCGUAUUCCAGCCGCGGAUUAGAUUUAAAAAAACGCACAUACAACUACCGAGGUUGUAAAGUCUGCUGUGGUGUUACACAACUACCUGCUUAAAAAAGAACCUCUCAAUUUGGAACAGGUACCGUGGGACAGCGAGAUCGCAAGCAUUCAUAGUUGUCGACAUCGGUCAACUGUAGCGGUUGCACGGAUGAGAGACUCUUUUGCAGAUUAUUUCUGCUCUGAAGCAGGAAGGGUGGACUGGCAGGACCCAUUUGUAUAAAAAAUUUUUUAAUCAUUUUCAAAUAACCGUUAAUUUCUGUUUGUUGGCCCGUUUGCUGAUGGUUACAGUUAGUUGUAUUUGAUUUUAAUUGCAUUUUGUGUUCAAUAAAUAUUGUUUUUACGUAAUUGAGAUUUUAUUUUAAUAUAUUGAUGUGCCCACGCUAGAGGAGCGACACAUACUUGUGUCGCUCCACUGGCGCUGGUAGAUUUAAUCAGGCCUGUUAUGGAGACUGAGGUUAAAUCUGCCCACGCUAGAGGAGCGAAUAGUUGUGUCGCUCCGCCAGUGCUGGGAGAUUAUGUCUGGCCUAUUAUACACCUAGCUUUCUCACACUCUCCCAACGCUGGUGGAGCGACAAUUAGUUGUGUCGCUCCGCCAGUGCUGGGAGAUUAUGUCUGGCCUGGGAAUGCUGAGCCUGUGGAGGCUGCAAAGUUGGAUAGGGGUGGGGGAAUGGUUGUGGGACGGUGUGCCAGUUGCCACAAAACGAUAUCCAUCUGUCUUCUGGCCUCAUACUGCUGUGAAUAUUUUGCAGGUUCCGUUUUUUUUUUUUGCAUAAUGAUGUAAUAUAUGAGACUUAUCCCCACUGAAUAUAUGUUUAACAACAAGUUUUUACACUAUGAUAUGAAUAUGUAGCCUGUGUUCCACUAGGAUGGUGUUCUUUUCUGCUACCUUCUUUUUAAAAUGACAACGUCGUUUAUAUAUGUAGUAUUGUGAUUUCAAUAAAAUGUUUGUACUGA
This is a long non-coding RNA of Bufo gargarizans (Asiatic toad), 1692 nucleotides long. RefSeq lists it as uncharacterized. The transcript has 2 exons. The record is from RefSeq and is a predicted model, not a curated record. NCBI's taxonomy places the organism in Eukaryota, Metazoa, Chordata, Amphibia, Anura, Bufonidae.